This 532-nucleotide ribosomal RNA is filed under the name uncultured bacterium. Its description in RNAcentral is "bacterial SSU rRNA". It matches the Rfam family "Bacterial small subunit ribosomal RNA", at positions 774 to 1307 of the family's 1533-position model. The record is from RNAcentral.
AGCUAAUAGAUACCCCGGUAGUCCAUGUCGUAAACGAUGAAUACUAGGUGUGGGGGUUGUCAUGACCUCCGUGCCGCCGCUAAACGCAUUAAGUAUUCCGCCUGGGGAGUACGGUCGCAAGAUUAAAACUCAAAGGAAUUGACGGGGGCCCGCACAAGCAGCGGAGCAUGUGGUUUAAUUCGAAGCAACGCGAAGAGCCUUACCUAGACUUGACAUCUCCUGAAUUACUCUGUAAUGGAGGAAGCCCUUCGGGGCAGGAAGACAGGUGGUGCAUGGUUGUCGUCAGCUCGUGUCGUGAGAUGUUGGGUUAAGUCCCGCAACGAGCGCAACCCUUAUUGUUAGUUGCUACCAUUUAGUUGAGCACUCUAGCGAGACUGCCCGGGUUAACCGGGAGGAAGGUGGGGAUGACGUCAAAUCAUCAUGCCCCUUAUGUCUAGGGCUACACACGUGCUACAAUGGCUGGUACAGAGAGAUGCAAUACCGCGAGGUGGAGCCAAACUUCAAAACCAGUCUCAGUUCGGAUUGUAGGCUG